Molecule: ribosomal RNA, 521 nt
Filed under: uncultured bacterium 135
Lineage: Bacteria
Description: bacterial SSU rRNA
Rfam family: Bacterial small subunit ribosomal RNA
Source: RNAcentral
AUGGGGGCAGCCUGACGCAGCAACGCCGCGUGAGUGAGGAAGGYYUUCGGACCGUAAAGCUCUGUCGAGCGGGAAGAAAUGCAUGGUGGCUAAUAUCCAUCAUGCUUGACGGUACCGCUAAAGGAAGCACCGGCUAACUCCGUGCCAGCAGCCGCGGUAAUACGGGGGGUGCAAGCGUUGUUCGGAAUUAUUGGGCGUNAAGAGCGUGUAGGCGGCUGAAUAAGUCAGAUGUGAAAUCCCUGGGCUUAACCCAGGACGUGCAUUUGAAACUAUUCAGCUUGAGUAGGGGAGAGGAAAGUGGAAUUCCUGGUGUAGAGGUGAAAUUCGUAAAUAUCAGGAGGAACACCGGUGGCGAAGGCGACUUUCUGGCCCUAUACUGACGCUGAGACNCGAGAGCGUGGGUANCAAACAGGAUUAGAUACCCUGGUAGUCCACGCUGUNAACGAUGUUCACUANGUGUUGGGGGUAUUGACCCUCUCAGUGCCGCAGCUAACGCAUUAAGUGAACCGCCUGGGGAGUAC